GAUGAACGCUGGCGGCGUGCCUAAUACAUGCAAGUCGAACGAAACUUCUUUAUCACCGAGUGCUUGCACUCACCGAUAAAGAGUUGAGUGGCGAACGGGUGAGUAACACGUGGGCAACCUGCCCAAAAGAGGGGGAUAACACUUGGAAACAGGUGCUAAUACCGCAUAACCAUAGUUACCGCAUGGUAACUAUGUAAAAGGUGGCUAUACUACCGCUUUUGGAUGGGCCCGCGGCGCAUUAGCUAGUUGGUAGGGUAAAGGCUUACCAAGGCAAUGAUGCGUAGCCGAAUUGAGAGGUUGAGCGGCCACAUUGGGACUGAGACACGGCCCAAACUCCUACGGGAGGCAGCAGUAGGGAAUCUUCCACAAUGGGCGAAAGCCUGAUGGAGCAACGCCGCGUGGGUGAAGAAGGUCUUCGGAUCGUAAAACCCUGUUGUUAGAGAAGAAAGUGCGUGAGAGUAACUGUUCACGUUUCGACGGUAUCUAACCGGAAAGCCACGGCUAACUACGU
RNAcentral lists this ribosomal RNA (511 nucleotides) under uncultured bacterium. RNAcentral's name for it is "partial 16S ribosomal RNA". It matches the Rfam family "Bacterial small subunit ribosomal RNA", at positions 28 to 506 of the family's 1533-position model. The record is from RNAcentral.